AAGUGCCGUAAAACCCUGCGGUCAGACCAUCUGCACUCUGAAAAGGCUCGGUCAAUCGAUCUGCACUUAAUAUUUUUAGUACGCGAUCUACAUUACUCGUUACGGUAACUAUCCCUCUUGGGAAAAUGUGCAGCAGAUGAACGCUACGUUUACACCACCUGGUAAAAGUGACCCAAUUCCGAUUUUUUUCACGUGGCACAUAUCGGAUAUGUAGCUAGCCUACUAUGAACCUGUAAAUAGGAAAAAGCACAUGGAAUCGGAUAUUUUCAUAUCCGUUUUGGCCACAUUCAUAAAUAAAUCCGAUAUAGGAUCGGGGUCCGUGUAUCUUUUGGUCAUUCUAUUUUGCUUUCAGAAACAGAAAUGAAAAAAUGAAAAACGAAUGGUUGUUUGAUUUGAAAUACAAGGCAUUUUUAAUUUUCCUGGUUACUGUCACCUGCGUGUGCUGUUGUGGACUCUGGCAAGUCUUUAAAUAGAGGGCAGAGGCAGGCGGGGUUGCGGGGGUCAUAUUCUUGUGUUUGCGACUUGUGUGCAGCAGACUUUCGCCGUACGCUCCUCGCCAAUCGUUCUGGUCGCACUACUUGCGCGGUGUGACCAGAGGAUGUGACCAAUCUGGAGUGCCGUGGACCGAACUGGUGUCGCCUCUUCCAGUGUUGGCCGGGAAGUUUUAAUCUGCCUAAUUGUGUUCUUUUUCUGUCCCGGGUUUUUACUUGUGUUUGUUUGUGCUCUUAAUAAGUGGCAGUGCGGGAGGGAAACUGCAUGGGGCGGUCGGUGGUUGGGAAGAGAGUAGCUACUAGACUACUAGCCUACCGAUUAUUUCCGACUGCGGGGUGGUAGCCUACUAUAACAAGAUCGUAGUGUGCAUUCUCACGUAUUAUUCUCACUUUGCUGUGUGAUUAUGGUUACCCUUCUUACAAGCUUAAUAGUUUCACUUGGCUGUGUGUAGUGGCUAUAGUGGCCACGUCCACGGGUGUAAUGUUUUCAACUGUGUGUAGUGACUAUGAUUACCAUUCUUACAAGUUUAACAAUGCACUUGGCUGUGCGUAGUGACUGUAAAUUGCUCCGUCCCGUAGCCUAUCCGUGCCGCCCAGUGGGGUUUUCCCCCCGUUUUGCCCUUGACCAGCAAUACAGUCUAUUAUAUUUUUCCAUAUUCCUUGUGGCGUGUUCUCAACUUCCUAUAUAUCCGGACCUUACCGGUAAAAAGGUGGUGACAGCCUACACAUUAUUUAUGGUCCCUUCUAGGAGGGUUUAUUACAAUAUUCUAAAACCGGAAGUUGUCAGGGUAGCGCCAAAACCAAAAAAAUGGCCAGUGUACAGGCAGCUAAAUAUACAGUGAAUCCCUGCAGAAUAAAUAACUAAUUUUUGAUCGCUGUAAACUAAAAUUACGAUGGCUUUGGAACCAUAUUCUGACAGCAUUUUAGCCAUGGCGAAACAAGGGCUGUCAUCUACAGAAAUCUCUGCGCAUAUGUCACAUCAGACGCUACAGGUUUUGCAGCAAGAAGUGUCAGGAGAUUUUGCGCUGAACAUGGCUCAGGCUUGAGUGGGCUCUCCAACGAACAUUUGGAGUUAGAGGUGGCAAAAGCUAUAAACGAGACGGGACCAACAUAUGGGAUAAAGAUGAUGAAGGGGUAUCUGGCCAUGAAAGGAAUGCAUGCUUCAGAGAAACGAAUUGGAGCAGUGCUGAGGACUAUGCAUCAGCCCUAACAUGAAGCAAGACGCCAUGGUGCUCGUAACCUUAACCACAUACCGUAUCAAGCUGACUAUAUGGGUCACAAGGUUCACAUGGACCAGAAUGAAAAACUGGCUAUGUUUGGGGCCACCCAUGUUUUAGCUGUCGAUGGCUUCAGCAAAAAGAUUGUUGGACAUUCUACAAUGCCUAUGAAAAACAACCUUUACAUCUAUGAAGAUGUUUUCAGACCUGCAGUAAUUACCUAUGGUAGGACCAGGUGUGAGAAGAUCCAGGAAAAGGAAUUUUAUUUUACACUCUUCAUGCAGGAAAUGCUGUCACCGCAUCGUUAUAAUCAGGAGAGAAUGCCUUAUUUACAGACUUCAUCCACUAGGAACCACACAGACUGUAGCCUGAGGUCAACAACCGUGUCAACUAUCCACUGAAAACGGCCCUUCUGCAGUUGGUGGAUCAAGAGGAGCUAGACAUGGAAGACAGCCUUGUGAGAUACUGUGUGUCCAACCUGACUGGCCAAUUGUGCCAGAUUGGUAUUACGAGGGUGGUGAAGUCAUGGAACUCUCACAGGAUUUCUGGAAAAGGGACACCAAACGAGUUGGCAGACACCGGGUGUCCUACAAGAAUUCCACAGGAACUGUUGCCUCCUGCACUUGAAGCAUCAGCCCUCUACAGCCAGCAACUGGGAUCCGACACCAUAUUCUACUUUUGGAGUUGAUCCCUUUUCAACUGAACAGGACAAGCUAACAGUUGAGAAUCUUUUUGCAGAGAAAUAUCCAGAUAUUUCAGAUUUGUUUUCUAGAGCAGUGAACAAUGACUUUGCCCCAUACAAAGAGGCCUUGCUCUAUCUCAUAACCACAACUCAAAGAAAUGUGUGAAAAGCCACAUACUCCAUUUGAACUUUCAGAACUUAAAUUGGUACCAACAACAAUUGACUGGUGGCAACAGGUGUGUUUAGGAAAGGCCACAGAGUUUCUUCAUGAAGCCAUAUCAGGCCCAGAGUGCUCUAGAAGUGUGCACUCUCAGUCACUUUGGUGGCAGGUUUGUUUAUGUUUCCUAAACAUUAAGAGAACUCUUCGGUCUCCACAAAAAUAGUGAGCAAACUUUCACCUUCCUUAUUAACAGUUGUUUCUAUGCUGUGUGCCAAUCUGACUUCCUCCAGCCUGAACAUGUAAAUAAAUUAACUACACAGACAAAAGAGCUGAAGGUACCCACCAACUUUUGCAUUCAUUAAACAAUUAACUGCAAAUACAGCAUGCCCUUUUGUGAGUAAACAUGUAAAAAAAUUACUCCACUGGAAAAAGGGAUUUCAAAACAGAAAAUGCAUCUGUUAGACCCAUAACUGGAAGUACAUUUUCGCCUAAGGUGUUCCCUCUACAUUUUGCACAGUGCACAGAUGUCUGCUGCCACUGCUGCACACAUGCUUUGCAGCCAAUAAUGCCUCUGCAGCACUGUAAGAACAUUGGCUCCUCAAUGAAGUUAAAUGAGAAAAAUUAGUCAAUUGCUGUGUGUGUGUGUGCACACUCGCAUGUGUGUCCCUGUCCGUCCUAAGUGUUCUAGAUGUGCUGGAUGACAGUGGAAUGGUUUAUUUUCUAUUUUAACAUUAAAUUUAAUGUAAUUAAAA
Anguilla anguilla (European eel) is the source of this 3302-nucleotide long non-coding RNA. RefSeq lists it as uncharacterized. The record is from RefSeq and is a predicted model, not a curated record. NCBI's taxonomy places the organism in Eukaryota, Metazoa, Chordata, Actinopteri, Anguilliformes, Anguillidae. The transcript has 6 exons.